AACGCACCUUGCGCUCGUUGGUAUCCCGACGAGCAUGCCUGUUUGAGUGUCAUUAAAUUCUCAACCUCAUCGCUUUUGUGAUGAUGGCUUGGAAGUGGAGGUUUUUUGCAGGCUGAAAAGUCUGCUCCUCUCAAAUGAAUUAGUGGGUGCCCCGCGCAAACCUAUCUAUUGGUGUGAUAAUUAUCUACGCCGUGGAUCCUUAGGAUUGCUGUAAAAAGGUGUUUGCCCUGCUUCUAACCGUCUUCGGACAACUUGAACCAUUUGACCUCAAAUCAGGUAGGACUACCCGCUGAACUUAA
RNAcentral lists this unclassified non-coding RNA (299 nucleotides) under uncultured Bolbitiaceae. Its description in RNAcentral is "sequence contains ITS2". The stretch from base 1 to 52 matches the Rfam family "5.8S ribosomal RNA", at positions 103 to 154 of the family's 154-position model. The record is from RNAcentral. Lineage: Eukaryota; Fungi; Basidiomycota; Agaricomycetes; Agaricales; Bolbitiaceae.